Molecule: ribosomal RNA, 468 nt
Filed under: uncultured bacterium
Lineage: Bacteria
Description: partial 16S ribosomal RNA
Rfam family: Bacterial small subunit ribosomal RNA
Source: RNAcentral
GACGAACGCUGGCGGCGUGCUUAACACAUGCAAGUCGAACGGAAAGGCCCUGCUUUUGUGGGGUGCUCGAGUGGCGAACGGGUGAGUAACACGUGAGUAACCUGCCCUUGACUUUGGGAUAACUUCAGGAAACUGGGGCUAAUACCGGAUAGGAGCUCCUGCUGCAUGGUGGGGGUUGGAAAGUUUCGGCGGUUGGGGAUGGACUCGCGGCUUAUCAGCUUGUUGGUGGGGUAGUGGAUUACCAAGGCUUUGACGGGUAGCCGGCCUGAGAGGGUGACCGGCCACAUUGGGACUGGGAUAAGGCCCAGACUCCUACGGGAGGCAGCAGUGGGGAAUAUUACACAAGGGGAGGAAGGCUGGUGCAGCAACGCCGCGUGCGGGAUGACGGCCUUCGGGUUGUAAAGCGCUUUCGCCUGUGACGAAGCGUGAGUGACGGUAAUGGGUAAAGAAGCACCGGCUAACUACGUG